UCUCUCUCUCUCUCUCUCUCUCUGUGUGUUUGUAUAUAUCAUUGUUUGUCACUCUUUCUGUGUGUUUGGAACUGAGGCAACACUAGAGAGAAAUUAAAGAGGUUUGUUUCUUGUUGUUGGUUCAAGAUGGAGGGAGGGAUACAUGCCGGCACAGAUACCUCUGCUUUUAGGGAUUGCUUCUCUCUGGCUUGGAAGAAUCCUUAUGUUCUUCGCCUUGCUUUCUCUGCUGGCAUUGGUGGCCUUCUCUUCGGCUAUGACACAGGAGUGAUUUCUGGUGCCCUUCUUUACAUUAGAGAUGACUUUAAGUCCGUGGACAGGAAAACUGUACUCCAGGAGAGCAUUGUGAGCAUGGCAGUUGCCGGAGCAAUCAUCGGAGCAGCAAUUGGUGGAUGGUUAAAUGAUCGGUAUGGAAGAAGAAAGGCAAUCCUCGUUGCAGAUUUCCUAUUCUUCAUUGGAGCUGUAAUCAUGGCUGCUUCUCCUGGCCCAGCUCUUCUCAUCGUUGGUCGAGUUUUCGUUGGACUAGGUGUUGGAAUGGCAUCAAUGACAUCUCCUCUCUACAUUUCAGAGGCUUCUCCUGCAAAAAUCAGAGGUGCCCUUGUUAGUACUAAUGGAUUUCUCAUCACUGGUGGCCAGUUUCUUUCAUAUCUCAUCAACUUGGCCUUUACAGAGGCACCUGGGACAUGGCGGUGGAUGCUUGGUGUUGCAGGACUUCCAGCUUUUCUUCAGUUCAUUCUUAUGCUAAUGCUCCCAGAAUCACCCCGUUGGCUAUAUCGAAAGGGAAGGGAAGAAGAAGCCAAAGCCAUACUGAGCAAAAUAUAUCCAGCUGAUGAAGUUGAAUCAGAAAUCCGAGACCUUAAGGCCUCCGUUGACAAAGAAAUUGAGGAAGAAGGAAAUUCUGAGAAGAUUAACAUUAUCAAACUAUGUAAAACCAGAACUGUGAGGAGAGGACUAACUGCUGGUGUUGGCCUUCAGGUUUUCCAGCAGUUUGUGGGAAUUAAUACAGUUAUGUAUUAUAGUCCCACCAUAGUUCAGUUGGCUGGUUUUGCGUCUAACCGAACUGCUCUGCUGCUUUCACUUGUCACUGCUGGUCUCAAUGCAUUCGGUUCUGUUGUGAGCAUAUACUUCAUUGACAGGACCGGAAGGAAGAAGCUUCUCAUUGCCAGUUUGGUUGGUGUGAUACUUUCACUUGGUCUUUUAUCAGGAAUUUUCCAUGAGUCUACAACUCACUCACCGAUGGUUAAAGCUGCUGAAGCUCGCUAUGGAAAUUAUACCUGCCCUGAUUACAGUUUGGAAACAAAUACUGCUUCUUGGGAUUGUAUGAAGUGCUUGAAGGCCACACAUCCGGAAUGUGGGUUUUGUGCUGCAGCUUCUGAUAAGCUACUGCCUGGAGCAUGUUUGGUCUCAAAUGACACUGUGAAGGAUCUUUGUCAUGGAGACCACAGGGAAUGGUACACCAGGGGAUGUCCUAGCAAAUAUGGAUGGGUUGCACUAUUUGGCUUGGCACUCUACAUCAUAUUCUUCUCUCCUGGAAUGGGUACUGUCCCAUGGAUUGUCAACUCUGAGAUCUACCCUUUAAGGUUCAGAGGGGUUUGUGGAGGAAUAGCUGCCACAGCAAACUGGAUCUCAAACCUUAUAGUUGCCCAGUCUUUCCUAUCCUUGACGCAGACCAUAGGGACUUCUUGGACAUUCCUAAUGUUUGGGGUUAUAUCAAUAAUAGCUUUGAUCUUUGUCCUGGUGUAUGUGCCUGAAACAAAGGGGCUACCAAUAGAGGAGGUUGAGAAGAUGCUGGAACUCAGAUCUCUGCACUACAAGUUCUGGGAGAAGAC
RNAcentral lists this unclassified non-coding RNA (1826 nucleotides) under Hevea brasiliensis (rubber tree). Lineage: Eukaryota; Viridiplantae; Streptophyta; Magnoliopsida; Malpighiales; Euphorbiaceae. The record is from RNAcentral.